UUUUGGGUCAUCAGGGCCUAUGGCCACCUUACCUGGGCUGAGCUUUUGGACAAGGUGCUGUGCCAGUCUACACCCCUCAGCCAGCUGUUCUUGGAGGUCCUGCCCCUGGGACUUGUCCGGCUCAUACGGAGUGAGGAGGGCCUGGAGAUGCUCAUACAAUGAGCGGGAGGCAUCUCUCCCUUCCCGUAACUUCUCCCUUAGCUGGGUCAGCUCUCGU
RNAcentral lists this long non-coding RNA (217 nucleotides) under Homo sapiens (human). Its description in RNAcentral is "HSALNT0014156". Lineage: Eukaryota; Metazoa; Chordata; Mammalia; Primates; Hominidae. The record is from RNAcentral.